This is a long non-coding RNA of Erinaceus europaeus (western European hedgehog), 955 nucleotides long. RefSeq lists it as uncharacterized. The record is from RefSeq and is a predicted model, not a curated record. Lineage: Eukaryota; Metazoa; Chordata; Mammalia; Eulipotyphla; Erinaceidae. The transcript is spliced from 5 exons.
GCAUUCUCAAGGUGCAGAAACUGCUCCCAGCCCCAGAAAACAGCUCUUUUCCAGACCUGCUGAGCAAGGGGAUUUGCUGCAGAUGUGAGGAAGCCACAUGGAUUUGAAGCCAGCAGCAGAGUUACAUAAACGUGAUUUCUGAAAUCAAGAAAUGGAUGAAGGGACUUCUGUGGGGCCCUCCCAAGCCACUGAAUGCUGAUCCUGAGUAAAAGCGCCCUGCAGACUGCUGGUGACCAGUAGCUGGACAGCACAGAUGAAGGGCAGUGUAGACAGAACUGAGUAGACACUGUUUCUACCACAACCGCUUCACCAGCCAUGAAGAAAGAGAAGACCCUGUCCUCAUCUGCUUGCCAAGGGGCCUGUCUCUCCUCUCUGCACUUGGUGAGAAACUGAGAAAAUCAGAUACUGAAACUUGGAUCCUGGUGAUUUCUAGCAGCUUUCUGGAAUGAAAGUUGGGCUGUCAGGUAUGGAAUCAUAGGCCCUUGCUGCCAGAGUGGGAUGCAGCCAGGGGUGAAGAAGGACUUCCUAAGGGGUGGUCUUCUGAGACCCUGGAACUGACUGAAGAGAAUUUCAUUAAAGAGAGUGUUUGAAGGAUGAAGACACUCUCUUUCCAUCAGUGUCUUGCAUGUAACUAAACAUUUCAACCUGGAGCCACAAGGAUCAAGCACAUGAUGCAACGGAUGCUUCUGCAAGGCUGAGAAUGCAGGCUCUCCCAUCGCAGUCAGCUUCUGUAUUCUCUUGAUAGGGAGACAGAAGAGAGGAGGGGCAUGGAGGACAGAGCCACAAGCUGGUUGGAAUUCAUAACAAGUGUGCACUCAGUCAGCUGAGUGCUCAGGAAGAUUAAGGUAGGAGCUGGCUGCCUGCAAAGCUCCCAUUGAUCUGGCCUCUCCCAAGCCUUUCCUGGUGGCCACGCUACUCUGCCACCAGCAUUGUUUCUUUAAACUUCAAAGCUGGG